Non-coding RNA from Solanum lycopersicum (tomato), 809 nucleotides. Lineage: Eukaryota; Viridiplantae; Streptophyta; Magnoliopsida; Solanales; Solanaceae. The record is from RefSeq and is a predicted model, not a curated record.
AAUGAUGAAAAAACAGAAGCUCGAAAACUAUCAGAUGGUGGGUGUGGAUGCUGCAAAGAGUAAAGAGGAGAAGAUGAAGAUAAUUUUCGACAAGUUUGAUGUCAACAAAGAUUCACAUUUAGGGAUAACAGAGUUGUUAGGAUGGAUCAUGGCAGUUGAACCCACAUUAAGUAACGAUUUGCAAAGGCUUCCAUUUCUCCUUCAAAAUACUUGGGUAACCCCUCUUUCCUAGCUGGUUCAAAAGGACUAUCCUAUAGUGGUUUCACUCACAUUUACGAAGAAGGUCAUCGUAACUUUGAUCAUGACUUCAAUACCAUUAAUAUUCAGCCCCCAAUUCACCAGGGAUAUGCCAUUCGAGGUAUUUUACAACAACAACAACGUAGCUUGAUGCUUCAAUCACAACUACAACAACAAUACCAACAACAAGAACAACACCGUAGUUUGAUGCUUCAAUCACAAUUAGUACAACAACAAGCACAACAAUGUGCAAGUCUAGCGACAAAUACUUUUUCAAACAACCUCAGAAACACAACGCAACAAGUGGGUGGAGGGAUUAGCUCUGCUGGGCCGGUGUCUAAUAUCGGGAUCACAGCACAACAAAUGGUACAAAUGAUUCAACAGCCCUUAAUAUUAUUCGGCAGCAUCUAAGAAUGUUGCUUUUUAGGCUAUCAUCUAGACUCAAAUCACAAAGUAUUUUACCAAACUACAAUCUUAGUAAUCUUUAAUCUUUGUUGGAAUUGUUAUACAUUUUGUCUUCCCUUUUCCAACUUUUUCUUGCAUUAGGUUACAAAGUUUAUUUGUUUAUAAAA